Monopterus albus (swamp eel) is the source of this 199-nucleotide long non-coding RNA. RefSeq lists it as uncharacterized. The record is from RefSeq and is a predicted model, not a curated record. The transcript has 3 exons. NCBI's taxonomy places the organism in Eukaryota, Metazoa, Chordata, Actinopteri, Synbranchiformes, Synbranchidae.
UCCAGUGGAUUCUGGGAAACUAAAAAGCCAUGUGUGUUCAUCUGACCAAAGCGGUAUUUCAGCGGAAGAUCUGUACUGGUUGUUUAAGAUCUUAGUCCCAGCGUGUGACCCGUGGGAUUUGCGGAGUGUGUCGUGAAUCGAUUACUGCAGACAGAUUUUCUGUACAGUGAGCCAUCACAGUUAUUUCUGUAUUUUCUGU